RNAcentral lists this ribosomal RNA (322 nucleotides) under uncultured eukaryote. RNAcentral describes it as "partial 18S ribosomal RNA". It matches the Rfam family "Eukaryotic small subunit ribosomal RNA", at positions 1470 to 1796 of the family's 1831-position model. The record is from RNAcentral.
CCCUUAGAUGUUCUGGGCCGCACGCGUGCUACACUGAGUGGAUCAGCGGGUCAGGUUGCGCGAAAGUGUUUCCUAAUCUUUAAAUCCGCUCGUGAUGGGGAUUGACGGUUGCAAUUUUCCGUCAUGAACGAGGAAUACCUUGUAAGCGCGGGUCAUCAUCCCGCGCUGAAUACGUCCCUGCCCUUUGUACACACCGCCCGUCGCUCCUACCGAUUGAGCGGUCCGGUGAGGCUUUGGGAUCUGAGCGGAAAGAGCGUUUCGCUGUUUCUGCCCGGAAAACUCAGUCGAACCUUAUCAUUUAGAGGAAGGAGAAGUCGUAACA